This is a non-coding RNA of Peromyscus maniculatus bairdii (prairie deer mouse), 3534 nucleotides long. Lineage: Eukaryota; Metazoa; Chordata; Mammalia; Rodentia; Cricetidae. The record is from RefSeq and is a predicted model, not a curated record.
UUAUAUUUCUAUGGGCUUGUUUUUUCAAAAAUGUUAGAUAAGCACAAAUCAUGUAACACACACAUAUACAUGUAUGUGUGUGACCUUUUUCCCAGCUGUACUAGGGAUUUGGCCUUCCACUGACCAAAAGCCCCAUACCUCAUGUGACCUUUUGCUGUUGGUGCUUUUACCUAAAUGUGGUGCCUUUGUGAUUCAUAUAAUUUGCCACACAUGUCAAAUGUUCAUUUGUUUUAUUGCUGAGUAUUACUCUAUUGUGUGGAUACACCAGAGUCCAUUCAUCUACUCUCCAUGUACAUAUAAAUUGUUUCUAAUUUAUUGGCUAGUAUUAAUCAAACUGCUGCAAUCACUGUUAUACACAGAUUUUUGUUUUUGUUUGUUGGUUGGUUUUUAGAAGUGCUGGGGAUUAAAUCCUGGACCUUACAUACACUAGGAAUAUGUUGUACUGAGCUACAUCCCCAGUCCCUGUAUAUAGGUUUCUGUGUAAACUUAAGUUUCUAUUUCUCUAGGAUAAAUGCCCAGGAGUAUGACUAAUGUGUCAUAUGGUACAUACUUUUUUUUUUUAAAUGGGUUCUCACUAUGUAGACCUGGCUGUCCUGGAACUUGCUAUGUAGAGCAGGCUGGCCUCAAAACCACAAGAUCCUUCCUCCUGGUCCUCCUGAGAGCUGAGAUUAAAGGUGUGAGCAUCACACUCAGCAGCAUACUUUUCUUAAGAAACUCCUACACCAAGUUAGGGAUGUAACUCGGUUGGUAGAGUGUUUGCCUAGCAUACACAAAGCCUUGGUUUGGUUUCCAUCCCAAGCACCUCAUAAAACCAGGCCUGGUGGCACGUGCCCUUAUUCCCAGCACUGAGCAGGUAGAGGCAGGAGGGGCAGAGGCUCAAUGCCAUUCUCAGCUACAUAGUGAACCCAAGGGCAUUCUGCGAUAUAUGAGAGCCCGUUAAAGAAAGGCGAGGGAGAGAGAGAGGGAGGGAGAAGGAAGAGGGAGGAAAAGAGAUGUUCCAGAGUGAUGCUCUAUUUCAAAAUAAUUCUAUUACAUGCAUUUCUUUAUUUGGGUGUGGGGGCGGGUACAAGCCCUUUCAGACGUUUGGACAUCAGAGGACAUCCUGCUGGAGUCGGUGCUCCCAGCCACCAUGUGGGAUUGAACGGAGGCCACAAUGCCUUUCCCCACUGAGAUCUCUCAUCCCUGGUCCUGUCAUUUCCCAUCCAGCAGCAAUGUUUGAGAAAUCCAGUCCUUCCCCAUCCUGGCUGGCAUUCUCAAGUGAGCGGUGUUGAUUUUGUGACAUUUCAUAAGUGAGUAUUAGUUCAGUUCUUUUCCUCUUAAAAACACUGGCUGUGGGGCGGGGCACUCACUCUCCCGACUCCUGCUUUCAUCCACGGGCUUGUGAAAGUGCACAGACACCUUUUGUUGAAAGAUUACCUUGCAGACAACUAUCGCUGGUAAGUUGGGAAGUCUCUUAAAAUGGUAUACUUCGUGUCUCAGCUUUUUUAAUUUCUUUAUCUGUGUGUGUCUGGUCGGGGGUACAGUCCAUGCCAUGUCACCUCUCUCUCGCACCUUCAUGUGGAUUCCAGGGAUGGAACUUGGGUCGCCAGGCCUGCGCAGCAUGCACCGGUGCCAACGGAACCACCUUGCUAGCCCUUACCUCGCCUGUUGAGAUGGCACCAGGAUCUCUUGUUAAAUGGACCGAUUACUCUUGAGAGGUGGCGACAGUGUCUCAUCCCAUCUGUGGAAGCUCCACUUCUCAAUCUGGUGCCGUUGGCUAAUUGGCACAAAGGAGCCAGAGGAUGCUCGGAAAAUAUGAGUACUUGUUGACUGACUACCUUUGAUUUAAAAAUAAAAAAUAAAAAUAGUGUUUCUGACAUGGACACCAAAGUUCCGUGGCUAGGAGACUAUCAUGGUUUGGAAAACUCAAGUUGUCUUGGUGAGGGCUCCUGCUGUCAUGAAACAUGGUGACCAAAUGCAACUUGAUGACAAAAUGGUUUCUAUUCUCUCACAGCUUGUAACCCAUCCUCUAGGGACGCUGGAGCAGAAACCUGAUGCAGAGGCCACGGAGGGGUGCUGCUUACUGGCUUGCUCCCCAUGCCUUGCUCAGCCUGCCCUCUUAAAACAACCAGGACCACCAGGCCAGAAGUGUCAUCAGCACAGUGAGCUGGGCCAUCCCACAUCAGUUACCAGUCAAGACCUCACCACGGGCUUGCCCACAGCUUCCAUGCACCCAGUAAAAAGAAUGCAGAGAAUGUCCAUCCAUCUGCUGCGGCUUCCCAUCACUGCCAUGGCAGGCUCACACAUGGAGAAGCACACAGGUUUCAGGCUGCAAGUCCACACUUUACCCCAUUCCUGACCUCUGUUCAAGCAGAAAGGAGGGAUAUAGCCACACAGCGUGAACACACUGAAACUGGAGACCACCCUCCACUUUUCUAAGGAUGCUUGGGUGAGGAUCAGGACUCACAUCUGGCAACCACGCAGCAGUAGGUCCUGGAUGCCUCCUAUGUGCUGGGGAAUGGACUAGUGUGAAGGAUAAUAAUUCCACUGAGAACUCUAGGCAUUUGUUCUUUGAUUCACAGAACAAUUUGUAAUUGAACGUCUGGUAAUUGAGGCUAGAAAUGCUAUAACAAAUAAGAACACUCCUACCACAAAGAGAAACAACCGUGCCCAGUUGGAGGAGUAAAGCAUGUGAUUCAGUUCAGGAAGUACUCUAACCCAGGGAUGAGCACAGGAUGCCGGGGGCGGAUACAGCCCAGCCCAGAGCCAGAACAGCUUCCCCAAGGUGACAUUGGAGCUGAGACCUGAAAGGGCGUGGUGCGUGGCAUUCUGGAGAGAAAGAAAAUGGCCUGAAUACAACCCUAUUGCCAGAAACAUGCACUGCAUUCGGGGGCCUGCAGAUUAUUCAGAAUCUAUUCAGGAAAUGGAAAAAGUUACAUAUAUAAUGCAAUUGAAAUGAUAGAAUAAGGAUUUAUUAUAUAUAACACUGUGUACAAUAGAUAACUAUUACGUCUAUAACAAUGUAUAUUUUAUAAUAUAUACAAUGACAACUUUUUCUUUUUUUCAAUAUCUAUAAUGCUAUAUACUAGCAUUACAAAUGUAUUCAUUGUAUAAUGUACAAUUAUGUAUCAUAUAAUACACUUAUGAUGUUAGUAUAUUAUACAAUAUAUAAAAUAUUUUUAUUUUUAAUUAACUUAAUUAAUAUUUUAUUGCUACAUAGUAAGAAUUUUAAGAUAUGUUUUAUUUAUAUGUACAUGUACAUGGUAUGUGUCAGCAGAGAGGACCAACAAGCACCAGUACACCUGAUGCUAAGUUAAAGCAACUGACAUGGUCUCACUGUGUAGCCCAGGCUGUCCUGGUAUGCUUGAUGUAGACCAGGCUGGCCUUGAACACACAGAGAUCGACCUGCCUCUCCCUCAUGAUCAGUAUGUUAAAGAAAGGAAGAGAAGGAAGCUGAAGCCCCAACAUUCCUUUUCCCCACCACGAUCCUGCUCUUUUUUUUUUUUUUUAAGAUGUAUUUAUUAUGUGUACAGUGUUCUGCCUGCGUGUAUGCCU